RNAcentral lists this ribosomal RNA (678 nucleotides) under uncultured fungus. Its description in RNAcentral is "SSU rRNA". It matches the Rfam family "Eukaryotic small subunit ribosomal RNA", at positions 871 to 1566 of the family's 1831-position model. The record is from RNAcentral. Lineage: Eukaryota; Fungi.
AAUAGGGACAGUCGGGGGCAUCAGUAUUCAAUUGUCAGAGGUGAAAUUCUUGGAUUUAUUGAAGACUAACUACUGCGAAAGCAUUUGCCAAGGAUGUUUUCAUUAAUCAGGAACGAAAGUUAGGGGAUCGAAGACGAUCAGAUACCGUCGUAGUCUUAACCAUAAACUAUGCCGACUAGGGAUCGGACGAUGUUAUUUUUUGACGCGUUCGGCACCUUACGAGAAAUCAAAGUGCUUGGGCUCCAGGGGGAGUAUGGUCGCAAGGCCGAAACUUAAAGAAAUUGACGGAAGGGCACCACCAGGGGUGGAGCCUGCGGCUUAAUUUGACUCAACACGGGGAAACUCACCAGGUCCAGACACAAUGAGGAUUGACAGAUUGAGAGCUCUUUCUUGAUUUUGUGGGUGGUGGUGCAUGGCCGUUCUUAGUUGGUGGAGUGAUUUGUCUGCUUAAUUGCGAUAACGAACGAGACCUUAACCUGCUAAAUAGCCCGUAUUGCUUUGGCAGUACGCUGGCUUCUUAGAGGGACUAUCGGCUCAAGCCGAUGGAAGUUUGAGGCAAUAACAGGUACUGUGAUGCCCUUAGAUGUUCUGAGGCCGCACGCGCGCUACACUGGACGGAGAGCCAGCGGAGUACUUACCCUUGGCCGGAAGGCCCGGGGUAAUCUGGUAAUGCGGAAC